AUUCAUGCGUAUUAGUAGCAGGUGUGGUCGAGCGCGUGGGCGAGGGUGUGAGCGGUGGCGUAGGCGAAGCUUCAGCUACGCGAAUUGAUUUUUAUUGAGUUAGAUGAGUUUUUCGAAUUAUUUUAUUAGAGUUUAAUCGUGUUAGAAAUGGAGAGAGAAAUAAGAGCGUAUGAAAUUUCGAUUUGUUUAUUACAAGAGACCAGAGCAGACAUGGGGAACGACGGACGCCAUGUGGAGUAAAAUGACAUAUUUAAUGGCAGUAUUCAAAGACGACAGCAAAAUACGACACCGAAUUUCAGCCAAAUACACGGGAAUUCCCAGCCAGAUGCUUAUACGAAAAUUUUGCCAUUGUGUGAAAAAGUUUAAACAAAUGUGUAGAAUUAUGUUAAUAAGAAAGUAAAUAAGUAAGUUUUUAAAAUAUGAUUAGUGCACAUAAAAGAUGUAUGUAUUAAUAUGCAGGUAUUUGUAUUGAUCCUACAAAAACAUAUAAUUUAAUUUCUUUAGAGACGGACAAACGCACCGAAAACAAUGCUGUUAAAUAUGUUUUUAGCGUUGAAAACGAAUUAGAAUUUUUAGCAGGAAAACAAUAAAAACUAUCUUCUUGAGUAACAUAGCAUUGAUCGAAUAAUUCACGAAACUGUGCCAAAAAUAUUUCAAACAUCCUGAAACUCUUACUUAUUCAUAAAAAAUUAUACAUGGCUUAGUGGAUUAAAACUUUCUAUCUGAGAAAUUUACUAAGCAAUUUCGAUUUUUAAUAAGAAUUCUGGAAAAGUAAUGCUUUUACUGGGUUUGAGAAGUAAUAAACUUACGGUAAAAUAGGAUUAAUACUAUAAAAUUUAGAUUCCUUUUAAAAAUUUCCCACAUUUUAGCCAUACUCUUGGUAAAUUACAUAUAUAUUUUUUUUUUUUUUCAAAUAUUCUUGUUUCUGAAUCCAUUCCAAUUACUAAGCAAAUAACUAAGCCUGAAGUUGUUAAAUCCGUUUUUUAUGAAUAAAUAACGAAUUUUAAUGUGUUAGAAGAAUAUUACAAUUUUGUAACUGCUUGAUCUGGCUUACAACCUGUCGUCGAGCGGCAAAACAAGGCUCGUGCAAUUUUCUUUAUCAUGUUACAUAUGUGCAUUCAUUAUUAUAAAUUAUCACGCGUCUUUUUUAUGACUCUAAACUAAACCUUGUAUUCCAAAUGCGUUAUUAUGUCCGUAAAACAUACAAUAAAUGGUUAAUAUGGAGUUUUGCCAAU
Molecule: long non-coding RNA, 1235 nt
Organism: Rhagoletis zephyria (snowberry fruit fly)
Lineage: Eukaryota; Metazoa; Arthropoda; Insecta; Diptera; Tephritidae
Source: RefSeq, a predicted model, not a curated record